GACGAACGCUGGCGGCGUGCUUAACACAUGCAAGUCGAACGGAAAGGCCCUGCUUUUGUGGGGUGCUCGAGUGGCGAACGGGUGAGUAACACGUGAGUAACCUGCCCUUGACUUUGGGAUAACUUCAGGAAACUGGGGCUAAUACCGGAUAGGAGCUCCUGCUGCAUGGUGGGGGUUGGAAAGUUUCGGCGGUUGGGGAUGGACUCGCGGCUUAUCAGCUUGUUGGUGGGAUAGUGGCUUACCAAGGCUUUGACGGGUAGCCGGCCUGAGAGGGUGACCGGCCACAUUGGGCCUGCGAUACGGCCCAGACUCCUACGGGAGGCAGCAGUGGGGAAUAUUGCACAAUGGGCGGAAGCCUGAUGAAGCAACGCCGCGGGCGGGAUGACGGCCUUCGGGUUGUAAACCGCUUUCGCCUGUGACGAAGCGUGAGUGACGGUAAUGGGUAAAGAAGCACCGGCUAACUACGUG
This 468-nucleotide ribosomal RNA is filed under the name uncultured bacterium. Its description in RNAcentral is "partial 16S ribosomal RNA". It matches the Rfam family "Bacterial small subunit ribosomal RNA", at positions 28 to 507 of the family's 1533-position model. The record is from RNAcentral.